GAUGAACGCUGGCGGCGUGCCUAAUACAUGCAAGUCGAGCGAACAGACGAGGAGCUUGCUCCUCUGACGUUAGCGGCGGACGGGUGAGUAACACGUGGAUAACCUACCUAUAAGACUGGGAUAACUUCGGGAAACCGGAGCUAAUACCGGAUAAUAUAUUGAACCGCAUGGUUCAAUAGUGAAAGACGGUUUUGCUGUCACUUAUAGAUGGAUCCGCGCCGCAUUAGCUAGUUGGUAAGGUAACGGCUUACCAAGGCAACGAUGCGUAGCCGACCUGAGAGGGUGAUCGGCCACACUGGAACUGAGACACGGUACAGACUCCUACGGGAGGCAGCAGUAGGGAAUCUUCCGCAAUGGGCGAAAGCUUGACGGAGCAACGCCGCGUGAGUGAUGAAGGUCUUCGGAUCGUAAAACUCUGUUACUAGGGAAGAACAAAUGUGUAAGUAACUAUGCACGUCUUGACGGUACCUAAUCAGAAAGCCACGGCUAACUACGUG
RNAcentral lists this ribosomal RNA (497 nucleotides) under uncultured bacterium. Its description in RNAcentral is "partial 16S ribosomal RNA". It matches the Rfam family "Bacterial small subunit ribosomal RNA", at positions 28 to 507 of the family's 1533-position model. The record is from RNAcentral.